Molecule: ribosomal RNA, 525 nt
Filed under: Micrixalus silvaticus
Lineage: Eukaryota; Metazoa; Chordata; Amphibia; Anura; Micrixalidae
Description: partial 16S ribosomal RNA
Rfam family: Bacterial large subunit ribosomal RNA
Source: RNAcentral
GCCUGCCCAGUGACAAAGUUCAACGGCCGCGGAAUCCUGACCGCGCGAAGGUAGCAUAAUCACUUGUUUCCUAAAUAGAGACUAGUAUCAACGGCACCACGAGGGUUACACUGUCUCCCACCCCCAAUCAGUGAAACUGAUCUCCCCGUGAAGAAGCGGGGAUAACCCUAUAAGACGAGAAGACCCUAUGGAGCUUCAGGCAACUGGGCACCCUACCCCAAAUAAAACCACAUACAAACAAGAUCUGCCAACUAGCCUUUGGUUGGGGCGACCGCGGAGUAAGACAAAACCUCCACAACAAACAGAACUAUAUCUUAAUCCAAGAGCCACCGCUCAAUGAAUUGAUAAAUCAACGUAAAAUGACCCGAUAAUCGAUCAAUGAACCAAGUUACCCUAGGGAUAACAGCGCAAUCCAUUUCCAGAGCCCUUAUCAACAAAUGGGUUUACGACCUCGAUGUUGGAUCAGGGUAUCCUAGUGGUGCAGCCGCUACUAAAGGUUCGUUUGUUCAACGAUUAAAACCCUAC